UUAGUCCCGCAACGAGCGCAACCCUUGUCAUUAGUUGCUACCUUCAGUUGGGGACUCCUAUGAGACUGCCGGUGACAAAACGGAGGAAGGGGGGGAUGACGACCAGUCCUCCUGGGCCUUAUAGGGGGGGGUACACCCCUCGUACAAUGGCUGGUACAAAGGGUUGCCAACCCGCGAGGGGGAGCCAAUCCCAUAAAGCCAGUCGUAGUCCGGAUCGCAGUCUGCAACUCGACUGCGUGAAGACGGAAUCGCUAGUAAUCACGGAUCAGAAUGUCGCGGUGAAUACCUUCCCCGGGCUUGUACACACCGCACGUA
This 315-nucleotide ribosomal RNA is filed under the name uncultured bacterium. RNAcentral's name for it is "partial 16S ribosomal RNA". It matches the Rfam family "Bacterial small subunit ribosomal RNA", at positions 1081 to 1398 of the family's 1533-position model. The record is from RNAcentral.